RNAcentral lists this ribosomal RNA (253 nucleotides) under uncultured bacterium. RNAcentral describes it as "partial 16S ribosomal RNA". It matches the Rfam family "Bacterial small subunit ribosomal RNA", at positions 524 to 776 of the family's 1533-position model. The record is from RNAcentral.
UACGAAGGGGGCUAGCGUUGUUCGGAUUCAUUGGGCGUAAAGGGUGCGUAGGCGGCGCGUUAAGUCGGGUGUGAAAUCUCGGGGCUUAACUCCGAAACUGCAUUCGAUACUGCCGUGCUUGAGGACUGGAGAGGAGACUGGAAUUUACGGUGUAGCGGUGAAAUGCGUAGAUAUCGGAAGGAAGACCAGUGGCGAAGGCGGGUCUCUGGACAGUUCCUGACGCUGAGGCACGAAGGCCAGGGGAGCAAACGGG